Molecule: small RNA, 468 nt
Filed under: Pan troglodytes (chimpanzee)
Lineage: Eukaryota; Metazoa; Chordata; Mammalia; Primates; Hominidae
Description: processed transcript
Source: RNAcentral
GCGUGUCCCGGACCGUCCGGCGUCAGACGGAGCGACGGGGCCGGCCGCAGCCUCAGCCACGCGUCCCUCGGCGGCGGGCAGGCUCCUCUUGGCCUGCAGCCUUACUUUCAUGCCCUUCUUCACAGUGUACUCAUCAGCAUGGCAUAAGGAAAGAGCAGACAGGGUUCCUGCCCUCAUAAUGCUUACAGUCUACAGAACAGUGCUGGGGACACAGUCCUGAGUGUUGCCUCCUGAUCAACCUCUUACUGACUGCCUGGCCUCAGGAAAGCAGCUGAGCUUAUCUGUUCUUAGUCUCCUGGGAGAUUAAGAUGAGUGACCUAGAGGAGAAGGAUGUUGAUGAAUUCAGCUCCAGUGGUUUUAAGUGCCCAACAUGCUUUGCAGUGCAAGGAAGGAAAUGCAAUACAGAACUCAAAUGGUGUGCAGCAGAUAAAAUAAAGUGUAUUGAAUUCUCUGGCAUCAUAAACACAG